UACGAGGGGGGCAAGCGUUGUUCGGAAUUAUUGGGCGUAAAGGGCGCGUAGGCGGUGCGGUAAGUCACCUGUGAAAUCUCUGGGCUCAACUCAGAGUCUGCAGGCGAAACUGCCGUGCUGGAGUAUGGGAGAGGUGCGUGGAAUUCCCGGUGUAGCGGUGAAAUGCGUAGAGAUGUGGAGGAAUACCGAUGGCGAAGGCAGCCCCCUGGGCCAAUACUGACGCUCAUGCACGAAAGCGUGGGGAGCAAACAGG
This 253-nucleotide ribosomal RNA is filed under the name uncultured bacterium. RNAcentral's name for it is "partial 16S ribosomal RNA". It matches the Rfam family "Bacterial small subunit ribosomal RNA", at positions 524 to 776 of the family's 1533-position model. The record is from RNAcentral.